RNAcentral lists this ribosomal RNA (429 nucleotides) under uncultured bacterium. RNAcentral's name for it is "bacterial SSU rRNA". It matches the Rfam family "Bacterial small subunit ribosomal RNA", at positions 355 to 776 of the family's 1533-position model. The record is from RNAcentral.
UGGGGAAUAUUGGGCAAUGGGCGCAAGCCUGACCCAGCGACGCCGCGUGGGUGAUGAAGGCCUUCGGGUUGUAAAGCCCUGUCAUGUGGAAAGAACAGUCCCGUGGUGAAUAUCCACGGGAUUUGACGGUACCACAGGAGGAAGCACCGGCUAACUCCGUGCCACCAGCCGCGGUAAUACGGAGGGUGCAAGCGUUGUUCGGAAUUAUUGGGCGUAAGGGGCGCGUAGGCGGUUGUGAAAGUCAGAUGUGAAAUACUUCGGCUCAACUAAAGAAUUGCACCUGAAAUUUAAUAACUGGAUUACAGGAAGGGAAACGGAAUUCCCGGUGUAGAGGUGAAAUUCGUAGAUAUCGGGAGGAACACCAGUGGCGAAGGCGGUUUCCUGGCCUGAUACUGACGCUGAGGCGCGAAAGCGUGGGGAGCAAACAGG